CGGACGGGUGAGUAAUGUCUGGGAAACUGCCUGAUGGAGGGGGAUAACUACUGGAAACGGUAGCUAAUACCGCAUAACGUCGCAAGACCAAAGAGGGGGACCUUCGGGCCUCUUGCCAUCGGAUGUGCCCAGAUGGGAUUAGCUAGUAGGUGGGGUAACGGCUCACCUAGGCGACGAUCCCCAGCUGGUCUGAGAGGAUGACCAGCCACACUGGAACUGAGACACGGUCCAGACUCCUACGGGAGGCAGCAUG
This 253-nucleotide ribosomal RNA is filed under the name uncultured bacterium. RNAcentral describes it as "partial 16S ribosomal RNA". It matches the Rfam family "Bacterial small subunit ribosomal RNA", at positions 99 to 353 of the family's 1533-position model. The record is from RNAcentral.